RNAcentral lists this long non-coding RNA (386 nucleotides) under Arabidopsis lyrata. Its description in RNAcentral is "long non-coding RNA (ALYR_LNC000033)". Lineage: Eukaryota; Viridiplantae; Streptophyta; Magnoliopsida; Brassicales; Brassicaceae. The record is from RNAcentral.
UGAUAUUCCUUAUGGCAAAACUUAAUCUCUUCUUCUGUAUCUCUUGUUUAAGGGUGAAGGAGACCAUAAGAGCCUCAAAGAGACCAAUGAGAGUCUCAAGGAAGUAAAAGUUGACAAGGAAAGGAUUCAGUACAAGUCAUGAAGAACUAAGAAAGUGAAGAGUAGAGCCGGUUAUAUUUGAAGUCAUAAGGUCCAUUUAGACGAUCCAACCAAGUCAAAACUCAAGACAACACGAAGAAGAAAUCUGGCCAGCGAACUCAAGUGGUUGUUAGAAAGGAAGUGACAUUGGUGGACGAUCAAAUUAGAGAAGAAAUCUGGUGGGAAUGCUGAAUCAAGCUCACGCAUUCAAGUGUCAAAGUCAUGGAGCUCAAGAUUGAAUGUACACA